This 207-nucleotide ribosomal RNA is filed under the name uncultured bacterium. RNAcentral describes it as "partial 16S ribosomal RNA". It matches the Rfam family "Bacterial small subunit ribosomal RNA", at positions 568 to 774 of the family's 1533-position model. The record is from RNAcentral.
UGCGUAGGCGGUUUACUAAGUCAGAUGUGAAAGCCCCGGGCUUAACCUGGGAACUGCAUUUGAUACUGGUAGACUAGAGUAUGAUAGGGGGGGGUAGAAUCCCUGGUGUAGCGGUGAAAUGCGUAGAUAUCAGGAGGAAUACCAGUGGCGAGGGCGGCCCCCUGGAUCAAUACUGACGCUGAGGUACGAAAGCGUGGGUAGCGAACA